CAGCCGCCGCGGUAAUACAGAGGGUGCGAGCGUUAAUCGGAUUUACUGGGCGUAAAGCGUGCGUAGGCGGCUUUUUAAGUCGGAUGUGAAAUCCCUGAGCUUAACUUAGGAAUUGCAUUCGAUACUGGGAAGCUAGAGUAUGGGAGAGGAUGGUAGAAUUCCAGGUGUAGCGGUGAAAUGCGUAGAGAUCUUGAGGAAUACCGAUGGCGAAGGCAGCCAUCUGGCCUAAUACUGACGCUGAGGUACGAAAGCAUGGGGAGCAAACAGGAUUAGAUACCCGCGUAGUCCCUGUCUCUUAUAC
Molecule: ribosomal RNA, 301 nt
Filed under: uncultured bacterium
Lineage: Bacteria
Description: partial 16S ribosomal RNA
Rfam family: Bacterial small subunit ribosomal RNA
Source: RNAcentral